Molecule: ribosomal RNA, 52 nt
Filed under: Mammaliicoccus lentus
Lineage: Bacteria; Bacillati; Bacillota; Bacilli; Caryophanales; Staphylococcaceae
Description: Staphylococcus lentus partial 16S ribosomal RNA
Source: RNAcentral
AAGCUUGCUUCUCUGAUGUUAGCGGCGGACGGGUGAGUAACGCGUGGGUAAC